GCCCGAGUGGCGGAAUUGGCAGACGCGCUAGCUUCAGGUGCUAGUGGUAGCAAUACUGUGCAGGUUCAACCCCUGUCUCGGGCACCA
Molecule: transfer RNA, 87 nt
Filed under: Candidatus Saccharimonadota bacterium
Lineage: Bacteria; Candidatus Saccharimonadota
Also listed under: 1 other name
Description: tRNA-Leu
Rfam family: tRNA
About the family: Transfer RNA (tRNA) molecules are approximately 80 nucleotides in length. Their secondary structure includes four short double-helical elements and three loops (D, anti-codon, and T loops).
Source: RNAcentral